UGCCGAAACACCCCGGCGCGGGGGUGUCGUGCUAGGGUGGUUCCUAGCGCCUGAUGAGGCAGCCAACG
RNAcentral lists this non-coding RNA (68 nucleotides) under Candidatus Kaiserbacteria bacterium. The record is from RNAcentral. Lineage: Bacteria; Candidatus Kaiseribacteriota.